AAACAGUUAGCUUAGUUGGUAGUGCGUCUGCCUUGUAAGCGCUAGGCCGCGGGUUCGAUUCCCGCCCGGCUUU
Molecule: transfer RNA, 73 nt
Filed under: Diaphorina citri (Asian citrus psyllid)
Lineage: Eukaryota; Metazoa; Arthropoda; Insecta; Hemiptera; Psyllidae
Rfam family: tRNA
About the family: Transfer RNA (tRNA) molecules are approximately 80 nucleotides in length. Their secondary structure includes four short double-helical elements and three loops (D, anti-codon, and T loops).
Source: Rfam by way of RNAcentral